This 737-nucleotide ribosomal RNA is filed under the name uncultured bacterium. Its description in RNAcentral is "bacterial SSU rRNA". It matches the Rfam family "Bacterial small subunit ribosomal RNA", at positions 9 to 758 of the family's 1533-position model. The record is from RNAcentral.
GAGUUUGAACCUGGCUCAGGACGAACGCUGGCGGCGUGCCUAACACAUGCAAGUUGAGCGGAGAUAUAUGGAGCUUGCUUUAUAUAACUUAGCAGCGAACGGGUGAGUAACACGUAGAUAAUCUAUCCUAUACUGGGGGAUAGCCCGAUGAAAGUUGGAUUAAUACCGCAUAUAGCUAUAUAGUUGCAUGAUUAUGUAGUGAAAGAUUUAUUGAUAUAGGAGGAGUCUGCGGCACAUUAGCUAGUAGGUGAGGUAAAGGCUUACCUAGGCGACGAUGUGUAGCCGGUCUGAGAGGAUGAACGGCCACAAUGGAACUGAGACACGGUCCAUACUCCUACGGGAGGCAGCAGUGGGGAAUAUUGCACAAUGGGGGAAACCCUGAUGCAGCAACGCCGCGUGAGUGAAGAAGGUUUUCGGAUUGUAAAGCUCUGUUAGCAGGGAAGAGGAAGGACGGUACCUGCAGAGGAAGCCACGGCUAACUACGUGCCAGCAGCCGUGGUAAUACGUAGGUGGCAAGCGUUGUUCGGAAUAACUGGGCGUAAAGGAUGCGUAGGCGGUUAAACAAGUUAUAUGUUAAAUAUAUAGGCUUAACCUGUAGAAAGCAUAUAAAACUGUUUAACUAGAGUGCAGGAGAGGUAAGUGGAAUUCCUAGUGUAGCGGUGAAAUGCGUAGAGAUUAGGAAGAACACCAGUGGCGAAGGCGACUUACUGGACUGUAACUGACGCUGAGGCAUGAGA